Molecule: long non-coding RNA, 671 nt
Filed under: Monodelphis domestica (gray short-tailed opossum)
Lineage: Eukaryota; Metazoa; Chordata; Mammalia; Didelphimorphia; Didelphidae
Description: lncRNA (ENSMODG00000037428.1)
Source: RNAcentral
AAAAAAAAUAUUAUCUGGUAGUGAGAGGGAGAUAAUAAAAAUGAAAAGGGAAGGCAGGAAGAAGGAAACAAAUGAAAAAUGGAAUUAUUCCUCCCACCUAUUCCCUCUGCUUCCUUCUUAUGUUCUUUCUUGCCCAAUACUAAAGGCUAGAAAAACAGAGAAAUAGUAUGUCUAAACCCAAUUCUUUCUCCCAUCUUUGUUUUGAACAUUGCUCUCAUGUGUUUUCCAGGAUGUAGACAACUGUUAAAAUUCUUUGACCCUCCAGAAGACAUAAUAUUUUCAUUCUACUAGCAUCUAUAGCCACUAGGAGACUGAGGACCUCAAUUCAACUUUCACUGGGGACCAUAAUGCAGAGCCUUCUUACAAUGUCCUGAAAAUGGAAAGUGACUAUAAUCAGAUCUGGACCAGCCUCUUCCCAUCUCUCCUCCUUCCCUAUUUCCUGAGACGCAACAAUACUGAAAUUAGGUCCGUUGAUAACCCUACAAUGACCUCUGAGUGUUCAACUGAAAAGAAGAGUUGAUCAAUGAAGCAAAGUGCAUUAUGGGCUUCUUUUUUAGAAACUUCCACAGACAGCCCAGUCUUUGGUAAGUAUCAUUCUGAUCAGUCAGCAGCCAUCAACACAGAGGCAAGAACCUCCACCAAUAAAAAGAUGGCGACUUAUUGAAGGCUCA